This 222-nucleotide ribosomal RNA is filed under the name Viviparus contectus. Its description in RNAcentral is "partial 28S rRNA". It matches the Rfam family "Eukaryotic large subunit ribosomal RNA", at positions 100 to 314 of the family's 3401-position model. Lineage: Eukaryota; Metazoa; Mollusca; Gastropoda; Architaenioglossa; Viviparidae. The record is from RNAcentral.
GGGACAAGCCCAGCACCGAAUCCCCCGGCAUGCAGCCGGUGGGAAAUGUGGUGUGCGGGACGCCAACUGUCGUCCGCGUUGGAGACCGAAGUCCUCCUGAUCGGGGCCAAUCCCACAGCGGGUGUCAGGCCUUUACUGGUCUCUGGCCGGGCGGCUGCGAGCGUCUCAGGAGUCGGGUUGUUUGGGAAUGCAGCCCAAAGCGGGUGGUAAACUCCAUCUAAG